CAUGGAGGGUGAGAAUCCCGUCUGAUUCUGGUCGUGAGCUCGUCAUACGAUACGCUUUCAAAGAGUCGAGUUGUUUGGGAUUGCAGCUCCAAACGGGUGGUAAACAUCACCUAAGGCUAAAUAUUUGCGAGAGACCGAUAGCGAACAAGUACCGUGAGGGAAAGAUGAAAAGAACUUUGAAAAGAGAGUUAAAAAGUAUGUGAAAUUGUUGAAAGGGAAACGAUUGAAGUCAGUCGUGCAGUCAUCGAUUCAACGGUUCAAAUGCUAGCUUUUGCUUGUGUUUGUCCGUGCAUUUUGGUGUCUGCUGGUCAGCGUCAAUUUCGAUUGUCAUAAAAAGGUCAGAGGGAUGUGGCUCCUUCGGGAGUGUUAUAACCUUUGGCGGAAUGUGGCGAUCGGGAUUGAGGUUUGCACGAUUAUAGUUUCCUGGCCUCUCAUCGACGUCUGAAUUGCGGAAGCUUGCUGAAGCAGUUUAGACCGUUUGUGAAAAGGUUGGAGCGACUAGAUCGUUAAGGAUGUUGACGUAAUGG
Molecule: ribosomal RNA, 527 nt
Filed under: uncultured Entrophospora
Lineage: Eukaryota; Fungi; Glomeromycota; Glomeromycetes; Entrophosporales; Entrophosporaceae
Description: eukaryotic LSU rRNA
Rfam family: Eukaryotic large subunit ribosomal RNA
Source: RNAcentral